This 754-nucleotide long non-coding RNA is filed under the name Diabrotica virgifera virgifera (western corn rootworm). RNAcentral describes it as "uncharacterized LOC126880574". Lineage: Eukaryota; Metazoa; Arthropoda; Insecta; Coleoptera; Chrysomelidae. The record is from RNAcentral.
GUAACAUUUUUGUUUUAUUUGACAUUUUAAAUAUCGACUAUCAAGUAAUCAAAAACAAAAAAAACCAAUCUCUUUGACGACAACAUAAACAUCAAAUCGUAUUCAUAAUUUUCGGCAAUCAAUCAAAAUUCUAAGUGAUUUUACCUCGAAAGAAAUACUUCGAGAAUAUCAAUAUCACCUACCUACAUAAAGAUCAAAAAUGAGUUGCUGCUCACCUUGUUGUUCACCCUGCUGCUCCCCCUGCUGUGUACCUUGUUAUCCCUGUUGCGUCCCAUGCGUGUACUACCCAUGUUGUUUCCCCUGCUGUAGUCCCUGCUGUAGUCCGUGCUGUCCUCCCAAAGGGUGCUGCUAGAAGAUAUCCAUGGGUUUAUUAAUUUUAUGUUCAAAGAAGUGAGUACGUCCAAAAUAAAAGCAGGUCAUAAAAGAGAAAAAAAUAUACAGAAACAAAUAAAAAACAUGAAAUUGUUAGAAAUUAAAAACUCAAAUAGGGGCUGGUAUCUGCGAAGACCAACAUUGCUUAAAGUUCUCUGGAGGACGUCUCUCUUUGUAUAAAACUGUUUAGUUACACUUAGUUUUAAAAUUGGAAUACUAAACAAUCAAUUCUUAACAAAUGAGUUUUACUAGUAAGAUUGUCGUUUAAAUAGUCUUAUUUUGUUCGAUGUUGUGCUAGUAGACAUGAAUUCCUUCCAAUUGGGAUAAAACUUUUGUAGUAUCAAAAUUUAAUAAAAUAAAAAUAAUUUUGUGACUAUUUGAA